ACGCCUAACACAUGCAAGUCGAACGAAGUAGCAAUACUUAGUGGCAGACGGGUGAGUAACAUGUAGGUAUCUACCCUUUGGCCUGGAAUAACACGAGGAAACUUGUGCUAAUACCGGAUAAGUCUUUACGGAGAAAGCUUUAUGCACCAUUGGAUGAGCCUGCACUUGAUUAGUUUGUUGGUGGGGUAAUGGCCUACCAAGACUUUGAUCAAUAGCUGAUUUGAGAGGAUGAUCAGCCACAUUGGGACUGAGACACGGCCCAAACUCCUACGGGAGGCAGCAGUGGGGAAUCUUGCACAAUGGAGGAAACUCUGAUGCAGCGAUGCCGCGUGAGUGAAGAAGGCCCUUGGGUUGUAAAGCUCUUUCGUCGGGGAAGAAAAUGACUGUACCCGAAUAAGAAGGUCCGGCUAACUUCGUGCCAGCAGCCGCGGUAAUACGAAGGGACCUAGCGUAGUUCGGAAUUACUGGGCUUAAAGAGUUCGUAGGUGGUUGAAAAAGUUGGUGGUGAAAUCCCAGAGCUUAACUCUGGAACUGCCAUCAAAACUUUUCAGCUAGAGUUUGAUAGAGGAAAGCAGAAUUUCUAGUGUAGAGGUGAAAUUCGUAGAUAUUAGAAAGAAUACCAAUUGCGAAGGCAGCUUUCUGGAUCAUUACUGACACUGAGGAACGAAAGCAUGGGUAGCGAAGAGGAUUAGAUACCCUCGUAGUCCAUGCCGUAAACGAUGUGUGUUAGACGUUGGAAAUUUAUUUUCAGUGUCGCAGCAAAAGCGAUAAACACACCGCCUGGGGAGUAC
This 791-nucleotide ribosomal RNA is filed under the name uncultured Pelagibacteraceae bacterium. RNAcentral's name for it is "bacterial SSU rRNA". It matches the Rfam family "Bacterial small subunit ribosomal RNA", at positions 44 to 883 of the family's 1533-position model. The record is from RNAcentral. Lineage: Bacteria; Pseudomonadati; Pseudomonadota; Alphaproteobacteria; Candidatus Pelagibacterales; Candidatus Pelagibacteraceae.